RNAcentral lists this long non-coding RNA (1094 nucleotides) under Macaca mulatta (Rhesus monkey). Its description in RNAcentral is "lncRNA (ENSMMUG00000050395.1)". Lineage: Eukaryota; Metazoa; Chordata; Mammalia; Primates; Cercopithecidae. The record is from RNAcentral.
GCUCAAACUGCUAUGUGAGAGUGAAAUAAACUAUCUUGUUUAAGCUUCUGUUGUAUUUUAUAGCAGACCUAUUGGCAUCCUGCGUAGGGAGAUAAGAGCUUAAGCAAGUGAACCACAGAAUUUCCCCAAAAGUGAAUGAUAGGAGGCUGGUCAUGGGGAGUAUGGAAUUCUGGGGCCAGCGGGGAUAACUUGAAUGAGUGAGGUGGGCUGUUAUAAGACACAUGGAACCUGUGGGGACCAGGUAAAUUGCAGAGCUGUGACCUUCCUGAAGACAUGAGCAUACAGACUGUAUUUCAGCUCAAAGAGAGUCUGCUAUUAGAAUUUGGCCAAGCCACUUGGUGAACUCUGAUAAGCUGAGUUGUUUUAAAAUGUUUAGUUGUUGUCAGCAACAUGAAACCCUCUUUUUCUAAUUCGUGCAGAACUAGGAUAUGUACAGACCUAAAGGCAGAUCUGCUCUGGGUGAAUGGAGGCCAUAUUCUCGCAGUUUCCCUCUGAGCCUAUGUGUGGGCUCUGCAGUGAAACAGUUUUAAAUUUAUUUAUCUAUUCUAAGCCCCUUAUUUAGCAGAUGGUAAAAUUUAAACUGAGAGGGGUUUACUGUUAAACCAAAAGUAUGUCAUUUCACCUCUCUGGGCCUUAGUUUCCUCCUGUUUAAAACAAGUAUGAAUUAAUCUCUAAAAUCUCUUCUAGUGAGUAAUAAAGGAAGCAUGUACAGAAGAAAAGUCAUGACUGUUGGUCAACUGAUGCUUGCUAUCAGGUCUGCCAGGCAUAUUUCUAACAAUGACUGGGAUGCUGCCUGGAUGAUUGCUCCUCAACCAGAGAUGUCAGCCAGCUGAAACAUACCAGGAGACAACAAAGGACAUUCCUGACUUGGGGAAAAAUGGAGCAGGAGAAAUUUACAUGUGUUUGACAUUUAUAUUCUUUUGAGUAGCUUUUGUCUCUUUGAAAAUUCCCUGAACUUACUACCUCAAGCAGAAGAAUGGAAUCUAAAUGCAAGGGAGAAAAGAAAGUCUGCUUUGAAGAUGAGGAGUAAGAUGAAGAAUUAGAGGUUUGUCUUUUUCUUUUAAGGCCUUUUUUGGUUAUGGAAAAGGACAGAA